UUUGCUUUCUGCACAUUUUUGUUAAAUCUAUUUGUUAGUUGAGAUGCAGAAGCUUCUGAUUUAAUUUAUUUGUUGAUGCGUUGAAUGUCUGAUUGAGAUAACAAAAUCGUCUUUACUUUUCUCUUUGCUAUGAAUUUGUGAGUGUGUGAGUGUUGAGAUGCCUUUGAUUUUGGUUUUCGCUUUAUGUGUUUUAUGUUGAAGAGGGGGCUGUGACACUUUGUCGGAGGGAGUAUCUGUAAAAUACAAGUCUAAUUUAGGCUUCGAUGAUCAGCCUGCUGCACAAGCUAUCACUUCACAGACUAUGGGUUGCAAUCUUCAAACGUCAACACUAAACACCCUACAAAACCCAGACUUGAAUUUUGAUCUUCUAUUCUGUUUUCUUCUUCGUGGAUGAUAUGCUCACUGUUGCUGAUAUGCUCAAUUGUUAUUUUCUUCUUCGCAGACUAUUCUGUUUUCUUCUUCGUGGAUGAUAUGCCCAACACUUAACACUAGCUUGGAAACUAACGACAGUUGCUGAUAUGCUCAGUUUAAUUUCCUCAGUGAUGGAAUAUCAGACACUUGAUCUUCUAUUAUGCUCAUUUUAAACAUAACCACUCUUUGCUGUCUGUGUGUUG
Molecule: long non-coding RNA, 614 nt
Filed under: Brassica napus (rape)
Lineage: Eukaryota; Viridiplantae; Streptophyta; Magnoliopsida; Brassicales; Brassicaceae
Description: long non-coding RNA (BNAP_LNC018426)
Source: RNAcentral